GUCAUGCUGUGUGCGGCCAGCACCCUUUAAUGGCAUCAGGAAAUUGGAAACAGCAGCACACGCGCUUGUAAAAUUCACCAGUUUGCCGAUCACUGCCACGCAUUAGAUGCUGGCUAUUUUGUCGACAAAGCAUUAGCCUCCUUUGUGCGGUGAGUGCAGCCACGUUCAACAUUUGGAUACUGUCUAUAUUCCCAGGGCUGGUCUGUUUCCGUUUUUGCACCAGGAGCUGAUGUGGCUGCAAGUAAGGCUUGCCUGGUGAGGGGCGGGGAGUCUGCUUUGUGGGGAGCCAAAAGUUGAUGGGCGCUCUAGGGCAGACCUCCCUGUUUCGUUUUUUCCCCCCUUUUCUCCUCUCUGCCUGUGCAGGGCAUUUCCUGGGUGUUGAGUUCUUUUCUCAUUUUGCUUGAUGCUAACAGCGUUUUGAAAAGGCAAUUUCCCCAGCUUACUUAGGAACGCACUGGGGAUAUUGUGAUAGCAAUGUUUCCAAUCAGUGCAACCCUUUCAGCCAUAUUAUAUUUUUUUAAUGUUUAUUUAUUUAUUUUUGAGAGAGAGAAAGAGAGAGCAAGCAGGGGAGGAGCAGAGAGAGAGAGAGAGAGAGAGAGAGAGAGAGAGAAUCCCAGGUAGGUGCUGCACAGUCAGCACAGAGCCCAACUUGGGGCUCGAUCCCACGAACCGUGAGAUCAUGACCUGAGCCAAGAUCAAAAGUCAGUCUCUUAACUGACCGGGCCACCCAGGUGCCCCUCGGCCAUAUUUUUAAGACUUUUGGAGCGGUGGAUUCACGGAAGAUGAAUUGAAAAGAUUGAAGGAACGGUUUCCCUCCCAGCAGUUAUGCAAUGCAACACAGUCAAAUUCUGAGUUUCUAAGUCUAUCCUCCCUGAAAAAUACCUCCAUGAAAUUAAACUAUCCUCCUUAUGUCUUUGUCUUAGGGCUGCUAGAUAAAAUAUAGGAUAUCCAGCCGAAUUUGAUUUUCAGAUAAACGACAAAAAACAUUUUAAUGCCAGCGUCUCCAACAACGCACCCUGCUUUUCUCCACCAAGCCAGUCGCUCCCUGACUUCCGGUCGGAUGGGCCGGUCCCGGGAAGGGCAAGUCGGGUCAGCGCCUUUUUGCCGCAGGGUGUAGAUGACAGCGCCCUUGCCAGUUUGGACAGAUGGCCCGUUAGUUGCUUUUCUCGAGGACAGGGCAGUUUUUACUCUGGUGAGGCUGUUUGGGAGCCCAGCAAGGGAAGAUCUGGAACGUUCUCAUCUCCAGUGUGGACAAAGUGCCUGGAUCCGGAGCCUGGCUACGGUCGAGAAGGAAAGAGGAACCAGAUGAAGUCACGAGGGCAGAUUUCGCUACACGGGCAAACGGCGGAGCCCCUGUGCACCCGAAAUCCCGGUUCCUCGUUCUCACACGCGCGUGCGCACCCGCCUGACUCCUCUAUCCUCCAGCCGACCUUUUAAAAACAGUUCGGGGGGCGCCUGGGUGGCGCAGUCGGUUAAGCGCCCGACUUCAGCCAGGUCACGAUCUCGCGGUCCGUGAGUUCGAGCCCCGCGUCGGGCUCUGGGCUGAUGGCUCAGAGCCUGGAGCCUGCUUCCGAUUCUGUGUCUCCCUCUCUCUCUGCCCUCCCCCAUUCAUGCUCUGUCUCUCUCUGUCCCAAAAAUAAAUAAAAAACGUUGAAAAAAAAAAAUAAAAAC
RNAcentral lists this long non-coding RNA (1671 nucleotides) under Felis catus (domestic cat). RNAcentral describes it as "lncRNA (ENSFCAG00000053252.1)". Lineage: Eukaryota; Metazoa; Chordata; Mammalia; Carnivora; Felidae. The record is from RNAcentral.